ACCUAAUUUAAUAUUGGAUCCUAUAUAAGCUAGUAAUAUGGUCUAGUGUUUCUACAAUUAACCGUAAAUUAAUUACUAUGGUAAAAUUAUGUAAUUUU
RNAcentral lists this non-coding RNA (98 nucleotides) under Spiroplasma eriocheiris. Its description in RNAcentral is "Guanine sequence". It matches the Rfam family "Purine riboswitch aptamer". Rfam says of the family: Riboswitches are metabolite binding domains within certain messenger RNAs that serve as precision sensors for their corresponding targets. Allosteric rearrangement of mRNA structure is mediated by ligand binding, and this results in modulation of gene expression. A class of riboswitches that selectively recognises guanine and becomes saturated at concentrations as low as 5 nM. Lineage: Bacteria; Bacillati; Mycoplasmatota; Mollicutes; Entomoplasmatales; Spiroplasmataceae. The record is from Rfam by way of RNAcentral.